This is a long non-coding RNA of Suricata suricatta (meerkat), 602 nucleotides long. RefSeq lists it as uncharacterized. Lineage: Eukaryota; Metazoa; Chordata; Mammalia; Carnivora; Herpestidae. The transcript has 4 exons. The record is from RefSeq and is a predicted model, not a curated record.
AGAGCUUCCUUACUCUUUCACUGCUCUCUGCCAUAUGAGGUUACAAAAACAGGCUUGCUGUCUGCUAACCAGGGAGAGGACCUCACCAGACACCAGACCUCCCAGCACCUUGAUCCUGCCUUUCACAGCCUCUGAAACUGACAUUAUCAGGGCAACUCAGGUUUCCCAGGGCCAUGCCAAUGGGCAGCUUUCCACAAUGAGUACUGACUACAUGCAAGCUUUCAUACAACAAAUAAAUCAUGGAAAGUGAAACUGGGACCAUCAGUGGGAACUGAAGAGCUAUUCUUUUAUUUUAGAGCACACUUCUGUGAUUUCCUUUUUUAGGUGCACAAUUUUGUGCAUGGGUUACAUGUUAAAUGAACUUGGUUCAAUCAAGCAGAGUAAAAGAAAAAAGAAAACACACAAGCCAGAAAACAGUGGAACAUAAUUGCUUAAAGAAUUGUAAGAAAAGGACUCAACUCAGAAUUUUAUACCAACAAAGGAAUCUCUCAGAAAUGAAGGAAAAGUAAAUGGAUUCUCAGUUGAAAAAAAUUAAGACAAUUUUUCACCAGCAGAAUUUCUUUAUAGGGAAAUUUAAAGGACAUACUUCAGGAUAAAAGGAA